CAUAAGCGGAGGAAAAGAAACUAACAAGGAUUCCCCUAGUAACGGCGAGUGAAGCGGGAUAAGCUCAAAUUUAAAAUCUGGUAGUCUUUGACUGCCCGAGUUGUAAUCUAGAGAAGUGUUUUCUGUGCUGGACUGUGUUCAAGUUUCCUGGAUAUGGAACAUCAUAGAGGGUGAGAAUCCCGUCUUUAACACAGACCCCCCAGUGCUUAUAUGAUGCACUCUCGACGAGUCGAGUUGUUUGGGAUUGCAGCUCAAAAUGGGAGGUAAAUUCCUUCUAAAGCUAAAUAUUGGCGAGAGACCGAUAGCGAACAAGUACCGUGAGGGAAAGAUGAAAAGCACUUUGGAAAGAGAGUUAAACAGUACGUGAAAUUGUUAAAAGGGAAACAAUUGAAGUCAGUCGCAUCUAUUUGGACUCAGCCUUACUUUGGUUUGGUGCAUUUCCUUGUGGAUGGGCCAGUGUUCAUGUUGAUUGCUGGAAAAGGGGCUAGGGGAUGUGGCUCUUUUGGGAGUGUUAUAACCUUGGCUCAUAUACAGUAAUUAAUAUGGAGUGGUACAGCAUGCUUCGGUGGUGCUUGUGCUGGCAUAAUGGCUUUAAAUGACCCGUCUUGAAACACGGACCAAGGAGUCUAACAUGUCUGCAAGUAUUUGGGUGAUAAACCCGAGUGCGUAAUGAAAGUGAUAGCUGGGAACCCUGCGAAGGGGGCACCAGUGCCCCGAGUGGAUCUUCUGUGAUGCAUCGGAGGUAGAGCAUAUAUGUUGGGACCCGAAAGAUGGUGAACUAUGCCUGAAUAGGGUGAAGCCAGAGGAAACUCUGGUGGAGGCUCGUAGCGAUUCUGACGUGCAAAUCGAUCGUCAAAUUUGGGUAUAGGGGCGAAAGACUAAUCGAAC
This 888-nucleotide ribosomal RNA is filed under the name Hydnum flavidocanum. Its description in RNAcentral is "partial large subunit ribosomal RNA". It matches the Rfam family "Eukaryotic large subunit ribosomal RNA", at positions 45 to 940 of the family's 3401-position model. The record is from RNAcentral. Lineage: Eukaryota; Fungi; Basidiomycota; Agaricomycetes; Cantharellales; Hydnaceae.